GGGUUGUGAGGUUAAGCGACUAAGCGUACACGGUGGAUGCCCUGGCAGUCAGAGGCGAUGAAGGGCGUGCUAAUCUGCGAUAAGCGCCGGUAAGGUGAUAUGAACCGUUAUAACCGGCGAUACCCGAAUGGGGAAACCCAGUGUGACUCGUCACACUAUCAUUAACUGAAUCCAUAGGUUAAUGAGGCGAACCGGGGGAACUGAAACAUCUAAGUACCCCGAGGAAAAGAAAUCAACCGAGAUUCCCCCAGUAGCGGCGAGCGAACGGGGAGGAGCCCAGAGCCUGAAUCAGCAUGUGUGUUAGUGGAAGCGUCUGGAAAGGCGCGCGAUACAGGGUGACAGCCCCGUACACAAAAGCGCAUGUGCUGUGAGCUCGAUGAGUAGGGCGGGACACGUGGUAUCCUGUCUGAAUAUGGGGGGACCAUCCUCCAAGGCUAAAUACUCCUGACUGACCGAUAGUGAACCAGUACCGUGAGGGAAAGGCGAAAAGAACCCCGGCGAGGGGAGUGAAAAAGAACCUGAAACCGUGUACGUACAAGCAGUGGGAGCACAGGUUUACCUGUGUGACUGCGUACCUUUUGUAUAAUGGGUCAGCGACUUAUAUUCUGUAGCAAGGUUAACCGAAUAGGGGAGCCGCAGGGAAACCGAGUCUUAAUUGGGCGUUAAGUUGCAGGGUAUAGACCCGAAACC
RNAcentral lists this ribosomal RNA (690 nucleotides) under Salmonella enterica. Its description in RNAcentral is "bacterial LSU rRNA". It matches the Rfam family "Bacterial large subunit ribosomal RNA", at positions 1 to 722 of the family's 2925-position model. The record is from RNAcentral. Lineage: Bacteria; Pseudomonadati; Pseudomonadota; Gammaproteobacteria; Enterobacterales; Enterobacteriaceae.